CUCCGUGCAAUCUCUAAUGAAGUGGUCCUUCGAACCGCAUCCGUAACAGGCCCUGUUAAUAGACUUACCCCAACAUUCACCUAUGUGUCGUCUUCCGCAUUGGGGACAUUCAGGUUUCUCUAGACGAUUAUUGGCCACACUAGCUACCGAAGUAGCUCGGGAGUCCGUCAAUGGUCGUGCUCUGAUGGAAAUUCCCGCAGUCAUCCUCGACUUAUUAGUGUCCUCCCUG
This 229-nucleotide long non-coding RNA is filed under the name Gossypium barbadense (sea-island cotton). RNAcentral describes it as "long non-coding RNA (GBAR_LNC011536)". Lineage: Eukaryota; Viridiplantae; Streptophyta; Magnoliopsida; Malvales; Malvaceae. The record is from RNAcentral.